This 461-nucleotide ribosomal RNA is filed under the name Geotrochus kitteli. Its description in RNAcentral is "partial large subunit ribosomal RNA". It matches the Rfam family "Bacterial large subunit ribosomal RNA", at positions 1796 to 2619 of the family's 2925-position model. The record is from RNAcentral. Lineage: Eukaryota; Metazoa; Mollusca; Gastropoda; Stylommatophora; Trochomorphidae.
UCGCCUGUUUAUCAAAAACAUAGCUUUAUGUUACAUAUAUAUAAGGUAAUACCUGCCCAGUGAUAUAUUUAACGGCCGCAGUACUUUGACUGUGCUAAGGUAGCAUAAUAAAUUGGCUUUUAAUUGGAGUCUAGAAUGAAUGGAUAAAUGAAUAAAAACUUUUUCAAUUUAAUUUAUAAAAAAUUACUUAAAAGGUGAAAAUUCCUUUUAUAAUUAAAAUAGACGAGAAGACCCUAGGAGUUUUUUAUUUUGUUGGGGCGACAUUACAGCAAUAUUAACCUGUAAUAGAAAAAAAACAAUUUACAGAUUUUAUUAAUAAAAAUUAAACUACCCUAGGGAUAACAGCAUAAUUUAAAUUAAGUUUGUGACCUCGAUGUUGGAUUAGGGAAAUUUAAUAUUAACUAUAUUAAAGUUUUGUUCUGUUCGAACAAUUUUCCCUACAUGAUCUGAGUUCAAACCGG